GUAAACAAUUACUAAAUGAACCAGCAGAGGGCAUGUGUCAGGUAAUUUUAGAUAAAUUACAUUCCCAGUUGAGAAAUUUAGUAAACAAAGCUCUGUAGAGUCGAAAUAAUGACAUUGGUGAGGUUUGAUGUCCCUCAUACAAUCAGUGCCUGUAGAGUAAUUCAGCGCAUCGUGCUUAUUAAAAUAAUGGAACAAAAAUUGAUACUUGAAAUUAAUGCAGUCAUUUGGUAGAUGAGCAUAUCAGAGGCAAACUGUUAUGAUUGCGUACAUUUGCUGUAAAUCCAGAGGGGCGAGGGAGAUGUUUUCCUUCAAGGCCGAAUAACAACAGGGAUGGGGAUCCCAGGAGGAACGUUGUGCUCUGAAGUAUUAAGCUAAAUACACUGGAGAGAAUAUUCGCUCAUCCCAAAGUGUCCUUGAGGAGAAAAAGGCUCUAGUCUCCAGGGUGAUCUCUGUGCAGCAGCCCUAGAUGGAGCGGGGGGUUUAUGCCACCUUUGUGCGUCAGUGGCCUGAUGAGCCUUGUUGUCCAUUUGUGAUGAAGAUUAUGUGGGACUUUCCUCAUAAAGGCUUCCAGGUAGAAGAGCAGCUCCCACCCAGUGUCCUGUCAGCGUACCCCUGGAUCCUCCUGGCUCUCUGACACGGAAUCUAGGGAAGAGAAACAAACCCUUCAAGCGUUGCUGAAAGAUCGCAUCACUAGGUGUGAGUCUCCAGAAAGAUAACCUGAAUCUCUGGAGUGAUAGAUGUGUGAUAGCCUGUUCAUGGUAGUUUUUUGACUUUCCAUUUGGAGAAGAGUGGCUGUCUCAAGGUUUUCUGUUGCAUAGGAGGUUUUUGUACUGUAGGUGGAGAUUUCACGUGGCAUGCAGAUUGAUGCCAGAGUACUGAACUUGAAAUCCAAGUCCUGGUCCCAGUCUAGGUCAAAGGAGAAGUUCGUCAUGGAGAUGGCAUCAAGCUCAGUUCUGGUCUCUGUGUCUUCCUCCUCAGCAUACACAUGAGGAGCAUAAUCACCCAGCUCCUCUUCCAGUGUCUGAAGAUUGAACAGCUUCUGCAUUAUACAGAAGGAAAAAAAAUAGAAGAUGAGAAGUUUUAGUCUUUUUAAAGAAAGAAACAGACUUAUCCUAGCUUGGUAGGGUUGAUUAAAUUAUUGUCAUUACCAUAUUUAGUGCUUGGGACAGAAAUUCACGGUGGACGCCAAUUUCAUAUUCUGUAGAAUAUUUAAUGGCUUUCAUCUGAGAAAUAAGAAGCAGUUAGUUAUAUGAUUUUAGUUGUUCAGUAAAUAACAUCAGAAGUCAGCUGUAACAUUUCAUAGUUAAAGCACAAUCUUUAUUAAACAAAGCUGUUUGCAGAGGAUCCAUGGAGAUGAGGUAUUUAUUUGUGGCUAUGUAAGAUUAAUACAUGUAAAAUUAACUUAUCCAACCCAAAUAAAUUUUGAAUCCUCCCCAGCAGCAUAAGAAGUAACUAUAAUAACUAUGCAGAAAUUGCUGAUGGUCUUUUUGCUUAUGCAGGACAUAUAGAGGCAUCAUUGUUAAAUUGAGGCAGUAGUAUGUUUUAACUCAAGGGAUAUAAAAACAUUAGAUGAUGAAAGAUUAAACAGGAAAAGGGCUCAUAGUAGUGUAGAUUGCAGUACCUUGCGCAUAAAUGAGUUUCUGCUCUGAUCUGUGGUUCUCAUGGUUGAUGAGGUACCUGUUGACUGUAAAUUCAAACAUUUCAGUUGUUAAUACGGUGCCGAAAUGGCAGCUUUUCUAAAACUUCUCAGUAUUACUUAGAUUUAAUAGUAAUGAUAAUAAUAUAGGUACCGAACGCCAGAAAUUCCCCCGUAUGAACUGUUGUCCCCCGACGCCCCACUGGUCUUGUGAUGUCUGAUUUUGCUGAGAAAAGCAAAUAUAAUUAAUGUCAUACCAUGACAAACAUCUUACUUAUAAAAUAAUUUUCAUUAGUGUCCGUUUGUUAGAACAAAUUAGUUUAUGUUUGGAUUUGUGGUUCUCAUGGUUGAUGCGGUAACUGUUGACUAGAAAUUCAAACAUUUCAGUGGUUAAUUGCUGAUGGUCUUUUUGCUUAUGCAGGACAUAUAGAGGCAUCAUUGUUAAAUUGAGGCAGUAGUAUGUUUUAACUCAAGGGAUAUAAAAACAUUAGAUGAUGAAAGAUUAAACAGGAAAAGGGCUCAUAGUAGUGUAGAUUGCAGUACCUUGCGCAUAAAUGAGUUUCUGCUCUGAUCUGUGGUUCUCAUGGUUGAUGAGGUACCUGUUGACUGUAAAUCCAAACAUUUCAGUUGUUAAUACGGUGCCGAAAUGUCAGCUUUUCUAAAACUUCUUAGUAUUACUUAGAUUUAAUAGUAAUGAUAAUAAUAUAGGUACCGAACGCCAGAAAUUCCCCCGUAUGAACUGUUGUCCCCCGACGCCCCACUGGUCUUGUGAUGUCUGAUUUUGCUGAGAAAAGCAAAUAUAAUUAAUGUCAUACCAUGACAAACAUCUUACUUAUAAAAUAAUUUUCAUUAGUGUCCGUUUGUUAGAACAAAUUAGUUUAUGUUUGGAUUUGUGGUUCUCAUGGUUGAUGCAGUAACUGUUGACUAGAAAUUCAAACAUUUCAGUGGUUAAUACGGUACCAAAACUGCAGCUUUCUUCAAUUGUUCUCAGUAUUACUCAGAUUCAAUAGUUAUAAUGACAAUGAUUAUAAAAACUACAGCAACAACUAUAAAGAUAAUAGUAUCAGUCUUGUGAUGUCUGAUUUUGCUGAGGAAAUCGAAUAUAAUUAAUGUCAUACCAUGACAAACAUCUUACUCCAUGGGUCCAUUUGUUAGAAUAAGCCUGGCAACGUAUUCCGUAUUUUUCUAGUUGUCAAAGCAAAAUACCUAAGCCAAGAGUUGGUUAGUCUGUCUUUCCGACUUUCCGACUUUUCCUGUCUGUUAAUUAAUCCCAGGCUCACGUGUUCUGAAUGAAAACGUAAAUAAAAAGUGUUUCAAAUCUUUACCGAAUAUGUGCUAUCAUUUUCGGGAAAUCCAAAGGUUCGCUAGAACAGCUGAGUACUGUGGUUUGUAGCAAACAUACAUGAACUGUAGUAAACAGUAAAUCAUUUAUUUAAGACUGUUUUCAGUUGAGGUUUGGUAUGCUGCGAGUAUUCACCAGCAAGAUGGUGCGUGUAUGAUUGACUCAAUGUGCAUUGUAGUGGCAGAGCAUUCUUCUCAGUGCAGUCUUUAUAUUAGUUAUUAACAAUGGAGGUCUAUGGCAAAGGGGAUAAGCUAUAUCAGGCUUUGGCUACUGUACACAGACAGUACUUGUUAGUAGGAUCAACAGGGUGCAGUUUAAAAAAAAAUAAAGAUAUAACCCAUUACCCAUAACUCCAUUUCGGAUAUUUUGUCAUUUGAAUGGGCUGCUCCCGCCGCCAUGUUGCCUGUCUGAAAAAAAAAGGCAUUUUAAGUCAAGUAAUGAUCACACGUAAUAAACUGGGGAAAAAAGUAUUUUAUGAUGCAAAAACGGAUUAAGAAAAGUUUGCUCAGCACUUACUCCAUUUGGAAUCAGAGCUGGAACUUGAGUCAUUGGUUGGUCUAGUUUCAUAAAGAUCACCUGUUGAAAAUUUGAAUACAGAAUCUGAAGUCUUUACAGCACCAGGUCAAAAUUAUUUUAGUGUGUAGAAUACUACACAUUCAGGAAAGCAAAAUUACAUUGCUUG
Sparus aurata (gilthead seabream) is the source of this 3660-nucleotide long non-coding RNA. NCBI's taxonomy places the organism in Eukaryota, Metazoa, Chordata, Actinopteri, Spariformes, Sparidae. The record is from Ensembl.